UGGGGAAUAUUGCACAAUGGAGGGAACUCUGAUGCAGCGACGCCGCGUGAACGAAGAAGGCUUUCGUGUCGUAAAGUUCUUUUAUAUGGGAAGAUAAUGACGGUACCAUAAGAAAAAGCCCCGGCUAACUACGUGCCAGCAGCCGCGGUAAUACGUAGGGGGCUAGCGUUGUCCGGAAUCACUGGGCGUAAAGGGUUCGCAGGCGGAAAUGCAAGUCAGGUGUAAAAGGCAGUAGCUUAACUACUGUAAGCAUUUGAAACUGCAUAUCUUGAGAAGAGUGGAGGUAAGUGGAAUUUUUAGUGUAGCGGUGAAAUGCGUAGAGAUUAAAAAGAAUACCGGUGGCGAAGGCGGCUUACUGGGCUCAUUCUGACGCUGAGGAACGAAAGCGUGGGUAGCAAAGAGG
This 403-nucleotide ribosomal RNA is filed under the name bacterium. RNAcentral's name for it is "partial 16S ribosomal RNA". It matches the Rfam family "Bacterial small subunit ribosomal RNA", at positions 355 to 776 of the family's 1533-position model. The record is from RNAcentral.